This is a long non-coding RNA of Ictalurus punctatus (channel catfish), 2919 nucleotides long. The record is from Ensembl. Lineage: Eukaryota; Metazoa; Chordata; Actinopteri; Siluriformes; Ictaluridae.
AGCACUUUAUCAGCAGCAGCAUUUUUGGACAAUCCUUCAUUCUUGCUUUAGAUGGAUUCAAGAUGUCUCACAUCUAAAAUAUAUAACUAAAUAUAUGCACCAAAUACAUUUUGAGCAUCUAAAUACAAUGUAUAAAGAUUUCAGCACUGAUCACAAGGAUAUCCAGAGUUACACUGAAGCUUGAUGAUAGCAGUAAGUACACACAGAUUUUGGUAAGCUCUGUUAUCUGUAAGUACCAUGUAAAUGACACCUGUCUCCUGUAGUAUCACAAAACUCUCUGGAAAGGAAAAAGCCUGUGAAUAGUAAUUUUGGGUUUUGUUUGUUUAAACAAGGGAUCCUUUUAACCUAAGAGGCAGGACAGUUUGCUUUUUAAAUCAAUGUGUUCAUUAGGUUUUUAUCUAUCAAGGUUACAGUGCAUCCGGAAAAGUAUUCACAGCGCUUCACUUUUUCCACAUUUUGUUAUGUUACAGCCUUAUUCCAAAAUGGAUUAAUUAUUUUCCGCAAAAUUCUACAAACAAUACCCUAUAAUGACAUCGUGAAAGAAGUUUGUUUGUAAUCUUUUCAAAUUUAUUAAAAAUAAAAAACAAAAAAAGCACAUGUACAUAAGUAUUCACAGCCUUUGCUCAAUACUUUGUUGAAGCACCUUUGGCACCAAUUACUGCCUCAAGUCUGUUUUAGCAUGAUGCUACAAGCAUGGCACACCUAUUUUUGGGCAGUUUCUCCAAUUCUUCUUUGCAGAACCUCUCAAGCUCCAUCAGGUUGGAUGGGGAGCGUCGGUGCACAGCCAUUUUCAGAUAUCUCCAGAGAUGUUAAUAAGAUGUGGAAAAAGUGAAGCGCUGUGAAUACUUUCCGGAUGCACUGUACAUGUGGAAGAAUAGGAAGUAGAUAUAAGAUGAUAAGAUGAACUCGCCUGCCCCACCCUUACAGUCAUGCCAAAGCAAUGCUUUUAUAAUGGGACCAGCAACAUAAACAGAAUAUGUUUGGUAAACAGAUAAACAAAGUGCAUAAGGUAUAAAAUUCAGUCAGGUUGGUAACAUCAAAUAGAAUAUCAAAUGCCUUACAGGUUUUCUGUCACAGAUUUUAAGUUAAGGAAAUUAGGAUUACAGGACAAUUUCUUAUAAAUUCUUAUAGGUAACUAGACCUAUACAGCAGGGAUGUCAACAGCUUGUCAAGACACAAACAUGUCUAGAUUCUAAGAAAGAAUUUUGCCAGUAUACACAGUACAUCUCAUCACUCACUCACUUUCUUUGAUCAUCUCAGGCCUUUAGGACAGUAUAUCCAAGCUCACUGCUCAUACUGAUCCUGGCUUCUCAUCAGCUGCUCAGACUCCUAUAGGACACACUGCACAUCACAGGACACCAUCACACACAAACACAUGAGGACUCAACAGAAAGACAGAGAUGGACAAACAACCUCAAUGGAGAACCAUAGACUUGGCAAACUGAGACUGAGGAAGAGGGGCACACAGACAUAAUCAAACGAGCAAACCUCUCACGGCAGAGGAGCAGCUACAGUAUAACACUUUCCAGACUGCUGUAAUGAUGCAAACAAGAGACACCACAAGACCCCAUCUCCCUUACAAAGCCAGAACAAUCUCAAACUAGACACAGAGGAUGUGUUAGACACACAUCCUCAUAACUGAACAGUAUGGACUACUGGAAAGACAAAUUUAGCUUAAUCAAGAAAAGGAGCUUUUGAUAACUCUCAAAGUGUGCCUUAUAAUGGUAGAAAAGAGGGACAAAAAAAGCCUUGUCUAAACAGGCAUAGAAAAAUAAAGACAUUAUGGAUUUAUGAAUGUAAAAAAUUUGAAUGUUAGAUAUGAAUGAAUUUUCAGUGCAAUUUUAAGGGACCUUUAUAAUAAUAGUGUAUAAUAUAGCCUAUUUUAAUAAGCAAAUUGCUGAAAAGAAUGAAACUAGCAUCAAUGCUCCAGUGUAUGUGUCUGUGUGUGCAUGUGUUGCUUCCACAUUUUACAUCAUUUUACAUCAGAUCAUUAUGCACACAGCAUCAAGUCUGCUUCUCCCAGGCCACCUCAUAUAUGAAAAAUAUCAACAGAGCACAAUGCAAAUUCCCAAAUUAUAUUUGAUACCAGCUUAAUACCAUUUAGCAGUUAUGAUUGUGUCACUGAAAAUGCAUCAUUUAUGACUCCUUUAUACAAGUUCAUUAUUCUGAAAACUGACUCCGAUAUUAUUACUUUAGAAACAUGGACACACUGUGAAUGUCAGAGCAGAAAGUACAAAUCCUGACGAGUCUUACACAAUGCAUAGUAAACACACAGGCACUUUCCUAAGCAAAUGCACUUCUUUCAUUAGCGUCACUUUUUUUCAGAGCUUUUUGGUGGAUAUACCCUUACGGUAAAAUCACAUACAUUUCACACAUGAUCAUGUAUCAUUUUUCCCAUGUGAGUAAUAUGUGAUCACAUGUGAAGUAGAGCCAUUUCACAUAUGCCCUGAAAUCGCAUGUGUGAACUAAAGUACAUAAUGUUACCUAAUGUGAAUAAUGUGUUCACAUGUGAAAAAAAUCACAUGGAAAUACAUGAAUCAUUUGUAAAACAACAACAACAAACAAACAGAACGCAAAUAAACAAACAAAAUGUGUAAACAAAUGAAUCUUUGUGAUAACAAAACAAAACAAAAAUAAAUCACAACAUUCCAUGAAAAAUAAAAACACAACAAAACAACAACAGCAAAAACAAAAACACCAACAACAAUCACAUGUGUAUAAAGUAAUUAUUCACAUGUGAAAUUUGUGUGAUUUCUGUAAGGGUAAUGCUUUAAGUAUUAUGCUUUAAAUACUAAAAUUUGCAUUCAUGUUUUAUAAACUUGGCACAAAAUAUUUCACUCAAAGAUAAAUUGGCAUUUAGUUUUUGUGAGUUAACAUCUAUGUUGUUAAUAAUUCUAAAUAAAUAUUUUUACUUAAACC